GAUGAACGCUGGCGGCGUGCCUAAUACAUGCAAGUCGAGCGAACGGACGAUGAGCUUGCGGCGCGGACGUGAGGGGCGGACGGGAGAGUAACACGUGGAUAACCUACCUAUAAGACGGAGAUAACCUGGGGAAACCGGAGAUAAUAGGGGAGAAGAUCUUGAAGCGCAGGGGGGAAAGGUGAAAGACGGCGGUGCGGGCAGGAAUAGAGGGAUAUGCGCUGGAUGAGCUAGUUGGUAAGUUAAAGGCUUACGAAGGCAAGGAGGCAUUGACGACGGCAGAGGGUGGUCGCCCACCCUGGAGCUUAGACACGCUCCUGACUACUACGGGACGCACCAGUCGGGAACCUUCCGCAAUGGGCGGAAGCCUGACGCAGCAACGCCACGCCAGUGGUGACGGCCCUCGGAUCGUAAUACUCUCUUACUAGUGAUGAACAUCUGUGUCAUUUGCUGUGGCGAUCUUGACGGUACCUAGUCAGAAAGCACCGGCUAACUACGUG
RNAcentral lists this ribosomal RNA (497 nucleotides) under uncultured bacterium. Its description in RNAcentral is "partial 16S ribosomal RNA". It matches the Rfam family "Bacterial small subunit ribosomal RNA", at positions 28 to 507 of the family's 1533-position model. The record is from RNAcentral.